AACGAGCGGCGGACGGGUGAGUAACACGUGGGCAACCUGCCUGUAAGACUGGGAUAACUCCGGGAAACCGGGGCUAAUACCGGAUAACUCAUCGAAUCGCAUGAUUCGAUGUUGAAAGGUGGCAUAUGCUAUCACUUACAGAUGGGCCCGCGGCGCAUUAGCUAGUUGGUGGGGUAACGGCCUACCAAGGCCACGAUGCGUAGCCGACCUGAGAGGGUGAUCGGCCACACUGGGACUGAGACACGGCCCAGACUCCUACGGGAGGCAGCAGUAGGGAAUCAUCCGCAAUGGACGAAAGUCUGACGGUGCAACGCCGCGUGAGUGAGGAAGGUCUUCGGAUCGUAAAACUCUGUUGUUAGAGAAGAACAAGUGCUGUUCGAAUAGGUCAGCACCUUGACGGUACCUAACCAGAAAGCCACGGCUAACUACGUGCCAGCAGCCGCGGUAAUACGUAGGUGGCAAGCGUUGUCCGGAAUUAUUGGGCGUAAAGCGCGCGCAGGCGGUUCCUUAAGUCUGAUGUGAAAGCCCACGGCUCAACCGUGGAGGGUCAUUGGAAACUGGGGGACUUGAGUACAGAAGAGGAGAGCGGAAUUCCACGUGUAGCGGUGAAAUGCGUAGAUAUGUGGAGGA
Molecule: ribosomal RNA, 630 nt
Filed under: Tenuibacillus halotolerans
Lineage: Bacteria; Bacillati; Bacillota; Bacilli; Caryophanales; Bacillaceae
Description: bacterial SSU rRNA
Rfam family: Bacterial small subunit ribosomal RNA
Source: RNAcentral